Pantherophis guttatus is the source of this 758-nucleotide long non-coding RNA. RefSeq lists it as uncharacterized. Lineage: Eukaryota; Metazoa; Chordata; Lepidosauria; Squamata; Colubridae. The record is from RefSeq and is a predicted model, not a curated record.
UAUUGGCCAAGGGAGCAGGUAUGGGCAUGUUCCAUCUGCUCCACUGCCAUGUUUUUGAUGAUUAGACAAAACGCAUUGAAGAAAGAAGAGAGUCACAGUGUAACUUUAGAGAAAGAGCUGCAGGUUCAUCCAACAUCCAUAGCAGUGGCAUUGAAAAUUGUGACCUAAAGAUGGAAUUAUAUGAAUAAACAAAUAAAGAAGCCUUCCAUUGGAAAAAUCUCCUGCCUUGCUCCCCCUCCACUUCUGGAAUUCCCCUCCCUCUGGAAGCUAAGACGUGAAGAUGCUACUUGGUGAUGGAUGGCAGCCAGUGGUACAAGGCAAAGUACCGCACGGACAUUUUUAAGGGGAAAAAAAAAUCAUGUCUGCCUUAUCGUGUUGGGGAAGUGAAAGGCAAUCAGGGAAAAAGAUGAAACAUUUAAACUGACCCUACUUACCUAGCAACUAUAUCUCACACCGAGACAAGAAUUUCUGAACUGAAUAGCACACCAAAUUCCUUGAAAUUUGAAUAAAACAGGAAACAGCUAUUUAGAAUUGUGCAAACUGAGAUCUUAAACAAGGCAUGUAACAUAAACAUACACAAAUCAGUUCAAUAUUUGAAAAAGGAGGAUCCUUUCUGCAAUUUCAUUAAACCAUGCAGAUCUCUGAAGAUUGCAAUCCAUCUGUCAAGACUUUCAAGGUCACCAAUGCCAACUUAGAAAACUUUGUAAACCGGAAAGGUACCCAGGAGGAAAAUUAAAUGAAGCAGCUUCUAUCUGAAC